This 82-nucleotide transfer RNA is filed under the name Penicillium roqueforti FM164. Its description in RNAcentral is "tRNA-His (ATG) (tRNA-His-ATG-1-1)". It matches the Rfam family "tRNA". Rfam says of the family: Transfer RNA (tRNA) molecules are approximately 80 nucleotides in length. Their secondary structure includes four short double-helical elements and three loops (D, anti-codon, and T loops). The record is from RNAcentral. Lineage: Eukaryota; Fungi; Ascomycota; Eurotiomycetes; Eurotiales; Aspergillaceae.
GGCAGUUUGGCCGAGUGGUCUAAGGCGAUUGAGUAUGUAUCAAUUCUCUUCGGAGGCGUGUGUUCGAAUCACACAGCUGUCG